CCUACGGGAGGCUGCAGUGGGGAAUAUUGCGCAAUGGGCGAAAGCCUGACGCAGCGACGCCGCGUGAGGGAUGAAGGUCUUCGGAUCGUAAACCUCUGUCAGCAGGGAAGAACGGUCACUGUGCUAAUCAGCAGUGAAUUGACGGUACCUGCAAAGGAAGCACCGGCUAACUCCGGGCCAGCAGCCGCGGUAAUACGGAGGGGGCGUGCGUUAAUCGGAAUUACUGGGCGUAAAGGGUGCGUAGGCGGUAUGUCAAGUCAAGGGUGAAAUCCCCGGGCUCAACGUUGGAACUGCCUUUGAAACUGGGAAACUGGAGUGUGUGAGAGGAUGGUGGAAUGCCAGGUGUAGGAGUGAAAUGCGUAGAUAUCUGGAGGAACAUCAGUGGCGAAGGCGACCAUCUGGGACAUAACUGACGCUGAGGAGCGAAAGCGUGGGUAGCAAACAGGAUUAGAUACCCCAGUAGUC
RNAcentral lists this ribosomal RNA (465 nucleotides) under uncultured bacterium. RNAcentral's name for it is "partial 16S ribosomal RNA". It matches the Rfam family "Bacterial small subunit ribosomal RNA", at positions 338 to 795 of the family's 1533-position model. The record is from RNAcentral.